RNAcentral lists this ribosomal RNA (122 nucleotides) under Pteropus alecto (black flying fox). Lineage: Eukaryota; Metazoa; Chordata; Mammalia; Chiroptera; Pteropodidae. The record is from RNAcentral.
GUCUACAGCCAUACCACCCUGAACAUGCCCAAUCCUGUUUGAUCUGGGAAGCUAAGCAGGAUCGGGCCUGGUUAGUACUUGGAUAGGAGGCCACCUAGGAAGACAGGGUACUACUGUAGGUG